Molecule: long non-coding RNA, 419 nt
Filed under: Salvia miltiorrhiza (redroot sage)
Lineage: Eukaryota; Viridiplantae; Streptophyta; Magnoliopsida; Lamiales; Lamiaceae
Description: long non-coding RNA (SMIL_LNC011245)
Source: RNAcentral
UGAAAAUUGAAAUAUGGCUACAACCUUAGAAAGCCCUUCUUUUGGGUGGAUUGAGCAAUCAUUUUUUAGAUUUGAUGGAUUUUCGGUCAUACUUUGACUCAAAACUCCAUUUCAGAGAGGUCGAAUAUUAUUGAAGAAUAGGGUAGCAUUUCAUUCUUACCAUGUUUCAUAUGGCAGCGUAUUUUUUGAAAGUUAAAGCCAAUAAUUUCUUGCCUUCUCAAUUCGUUUUGAGAGGAAUUUAGAUAGCAGAUUUUGUCUUCACAAUAUAUGCCUUCUUCCUUAAGCAACUAAUGGAAGGAAACUUUCUGUAUAUGAAUACAAUGCUUAGACUAUAUAAAGAGGUUCAUAGCAAAGGAUUUUACACACAAAUUGAAGCAGUAGCUAUAGAUAACAACUCAUUCCUUCGAUUUACUUUCUUU